AUCACAUGAACAUUGUCUAUAUAUGAUUGAACUAAACAAAGCCGGCUCUGAUACCACUGUAGGGUUUUAGGGAGAACAUGCACAGUGAAAGCAUAAUGGAUUUCAAAAAUUUAAACUAAAAAAUUUUAAAUAUUAAACCCUUAAAUCAACAACUCCUUAAUGAUUAACAAUCAUAUAAAAUAUUUUUAUAACAAAAUUUAAGGUAUAGAAGAAUAUGUGCAAUGCUUAUUCCAAACUCCGGC
RNAcentral lists this long non-coding RNA (242 nucleotides) under Elaeis guineensis (African oil palm). Its description in RNAcentral is "long non-coding RNA (EGUI_LNC070266)". Lineage: Eukaryota; Viridiplantae; Streptophyta; Magnoliopsida; Arecales; Arecaceae. The record is from RNAcentral.